AUGUUUGCAGGGGUCCAGAAGAAGAUUUCCUGUGAGAUCUUUUCCAAUCACUUCAAGGACAAUAAGGUGGAGAUAGCAAAUGCAAUAACAAAGUCAUUUCCUUUUCUUGAAAGCCUCAGAGACAAUUCCUUUAUCACUGAAAAAAUGUAUACUUAUUCUCAAGAAGCCUGUAUAAACUUGAUUCCUCUACAGAGAGUUGUGUACCAGGUUCUCUGCCACCUGGAGAAGGUGUUUGAUUGUUCAGUUCUGUCAGUCCUGUUCAGCAGGAUUAACCUGAAGGAGUAUCCUGAUUUAAUUGAGAUUCAUAAAAGC
This 312-nucleotide small RNA is filed under the name Pongo abelii (Sumatran orangutan). Its description in RNAcentral is "unitary pseudogene". Lineage: Eukaryota; Metazoa; Chordata; Mammalia; Primates; Hominidae. The record is from RNAcentral.